AAUAGAUACCCAGGUAGUCCACGCCGUAAACGAUGGGUACUAGGUGUAGGGGGUAUCGACUCCCCCUGUGCCGCCGUUAACACAAUAAGUACCCCGCCUGGGGAGUACGGUCGCAAGAUUAAAACUCAAAGGAAUUGACGGGGGGCCCGCACAAGCAGCGGAGCAUGUGGUUUAAUUCGAAGCAACGCGAAGAACCUUACCUAGACUUGACAUCUCCUGCAUUACUCUUAAUCGAGGAAGUUCUCCCUUCGGGGAGGACAGGAAGACAGGUGGUGCAUGGUUGUCGUCAGCUCGUGUCGUGAGAUGUUGGGUUAAGUCCCGCAACGAGCGCAACCCUUAUUGUUAGUUGCUACCAUUUAGUUGAGCACUCUAGCAAGACUGCCGUGGUUAACGCGGAGGAAGGUGGGGAUGACGUCAAAUCAUCAUGCCCCUUAUGUCUAGGGCUACACACGUGCUACAAUGGCGAGUACAAAAGCGCAAAGCCGCGAGGUGGAGCAAAACUUAUAAAACUCGUCUCAGUUCGGAUUGCAGGCUGAAACUCGCCUGC
This 547-nucleotide ribosomal RNA is filed under the name uncultured bacterium. Its description in RNAcentral is "bacterial SSU rRNA". It matches the Rfam family "Bacterial small subunit ribosomal RNA", at positions 777 to 1319 of the family's 1533-position model. The record is from RNAcentral.